This 25-nucleotide non-coding RNA is filed under the name Cricetulus griseus (Chinese hamster). Lineage: Eukaryota; Metazoa; Chordata; Mammalia; Rodentia; Cricetidae. The record is from RNAcentral.
GUGUUGCUGUUACCUGUUCUCAAGU